This is a long non-coding RNA of Brienomyrus brachyistius, 181 nucleotides long. RefSeq lists it as uncharacterized. The record is from RefSeq and is a predicted model, not a curated record. The transcript is spliced from 3 exons. NCBI's taxonomy places the organism in Eukaryota, Metazoa, Chordata, Actinopteri, Osteoglossiformes, Mormyridae.
CUAAACAACACCCCACCCCCACGACUCAGCAAAAUUUGGGGAAUCCAGAAUCCUGGGCCACAGCUUUUCAAGCAGCAGGAAAUGAGAAUUUGAAUUUUCUUUUCUCCUGUCGGCGAUGCCGGGUGUUCCCGCGUGACGCUCCACGUCCAACAUAUACAGCCAACACGAUCCUCCUUCUCGG